UCCACUGGAUGCUGGGCAAUGAACCCA
Molecule: non-coding RNA, 27 nt
Filed under: Rattus norvegicus (Norway rat)
Lineage: Eukaryota; Metazoa; Chordata; Mammalia; Rodentia; Muridae
Source: RNAcentral